RNAcentral lists this ribosomal RNA (253 nucleotides) under uncultured bacterium. Its description in RNAcentral is "partial 16S ribosomal RNA". It matches the Rfam family "Bacterial small subunit ribosomal RNA", at positions 524 to 776 of the family's 1533-position model. The record is from RNAcentral.
UACGAAGGGGGCUAGCGUUGCUCGGAAUUACUGGGCGUAAAGAGCGUGUAGGCGGUUUGGUAGGUCCGUUGUGAAAACUCGAGGCUCAACCUCGAGACGCCGAUGGAAACCAUCAGACUAGAGUCCGGAAGAGGAGAGUGGAAUUCCUGGUGUAGCGGUGAAAUGCGCAGAUAUCAGGAAGAACACCCGUGGCUAAGGCGGCUCUCUAGUACGGUACUGACGCUGAGACGCGAAAGCGUGGGGAGCGAACAGG